Drosophila sulfurigaster albostrigata is the source of this 1759-nucleotide long non-coding RNA. RefSeq lists it as uncharacterized. Lineage: Eukaryota; Metazoa; Arthropoda; Insecta; Diptera; Drosophilidae. The transcript is spliced from 3 exons. The record is from RefSeq and is a predicted model, not a curated record.
CUGGAAUUACAUGACCAUUGGCACGUGAAAUGAUAUAUAUUGAAGCCAAUCUACGACAGACAACAGCAAAGGGUGGAUGUUGGAUGAUGCUAGAAAUCUACUCUUAAAUUUUGUCUAUUUAAUUGUACAGUGAUAAACGAAAUAAAUCUCCAAGUGUCAAGCUGAGGCACACACAUAUGUUAUCCCCCCUUUCUGAGCCGUAAAAAAAGAGGCUGUAAGAUUUACCAAAUAUUGCACAAUGAUGGAUCAUAAAUAACUUAUGUUUGCACGGCGCGCAGAGCCGACAAGCAAUUUGAACACAGCGAGUGACGUAACACACACACUCGAAUAGGAGAGAAAUUGUCACAGUUCCCCUUUCCCCUCAACUUUCCCUCUGGGUGGACAUCAGCAGUGACUACUGCCCCGGCCAUUAAGCACAAAAGGAUGACCCUUGAUGCCGUAAAAAAGAACUGACUCUGGACAAUGGUCACUUGAUGAUGCGGGCGCGUCGACGCCAGCGCUUCAUUCGGUUCAAUUCUCUAUACAAUACUCACAUCUCGCAUCGGGUUUUAUUCGCCUGCCUUUUUACGGCACAAUGUCCAAAUGAACGGAAGCGACUCGUAAAACUAGCGAAUUGUGAAUUAUGUCGCUGACAUAUAGUCCAGUCCUGUGUGUUCCCGCUGUCGCCAGUCAAUAGUUGACAAUAAAACUGUAAGAAGAAAAAAACAGACAUACACACAUAAAAAAAUUGAGAAGCGUGGACUUUGGUCAGCUUGCAGAGGGAAGGAAGUGCUAUUGAACUCCUGUUUUGCUAGAUCAAUAAAAGGUGCAUUAAACAGGACACUCGGCAAGUAGUCGCAUUUGUCGUAAAUACAUUUUAUUGUAAAUUGUUUGCAAUAAAAAAGAAAAAAAAAGCGGAGUUCGAGGUGUGACUGCUGCAUUGAAUUGCUGCUUAAAGUAAGCCUAAUGCUGAUGUGGCCAAAAGCAAACCGCAAACUACUUUCGAGCGUAAAAGAAAAUUCAACCAACAAAAAGUGUACUCUCUUAAAAAGUUCAGAACGAAGAAAUAAGCGGCAACGUUAAGGAUAAGGCUAAGGCAUUGAAUAUGCACACGCCAUAAUCACAUUAAAACGUAAACGAUAUGCAAAUGGAUGCGCUGACAAGGAAGCAGCCAGGACUCAACCAGGACCUCAGUUCAUCAAAAAUGCGCACAUGUAAAAAUGUGCAAAACGUAAAGAAAACUGUUUGGAAAAACUAACGUGUGUGUGCUUGAUGAAGUUUUCUUUUACGUAUAGUCCUGCGGCAGGAUGUGUGUAUAGCUUAAGAAAACAUAAUGUGUCGAGUGCGUUUUUCUUUCUUCCGGCGGCUUAGUCACGUCCUCCACUUACAACAGCAAUUAGUUGGAGGAUGCGAGCAGAUACUCAUUUUAAUUCAAUAAAAGUCAAACGAGGCAUUUCCUGGCCCGCAAAAACUUUUCGCUGCGGUCUGUUAGCUAAAGUCAAUUAAAAUUUUGUGAAAGCUGUAAGACAACGCCAGCCAAAAACUUUGUGGCCGAAAACUCUCAAGUCGCAUAUGUGAACGAAGUCUGUGAACUAUCCAAACUUCUGACCCAAAACAAUGGAGGAGAACGCAUCGAACACGCCUCGCAGCAUUUUGGCUUUGGCAAAUCCGCAUUGAAAUGAAGCAAUCGCAUUGGCACUUCAAUUAAAUUAUCACAACAGGCAACACCCGCAAAAAGGACAAUAGAAUAGACUCACUCGACUGUCAGCUAAGUGCAUUU